Molecule: transfer RNA, 72 nt
Filed under: Ictidomys tridecemlineatus (thirteen-lined ground squirrel)
Lineage: Eukaryota; Metazoa; Chordata; Mammalia; Rodentia; Sciuridae
Description: Spermophilus tridecemlineatus (thirteen-lined ground squirrel) tRNA
Rfam family: tRNA
About the family: Transfer RNA (tRNA) molecules are approximately 80 nucleotides in length. Their secondary structure includes four short double-helical elements and three loops (D, anti-codon, and T loops).
Source: Rfam by way of RNAcentral
UGAGGUGUGGCUCAGUGGUAGAGCGUUUGCUUAGCAUGUGUGAGGCCCUGGGUUCGAUCCUCAGCACCACAU